GACGAACGCUGGCGGCGUGCUUAACACAUGCAAGUCGAACGGAAAGGCCCUGCUUUUGUGGGGUGCUCGAGUGGCGAACGGGUGAGUAACACGUGAGUAACCUGCCCUUGACUUUGGGAUAACUUCAGGAAACUGGGGCUAAUACCGGAUAGGAGCUCCUGCUGCAUGGUGGGGGUUGGAAAGUUUCGGCGGUUGGGGAUGGACUCGCGGCUUAUCAGCUUGUUGAUGGGGUAGUGGCUUACCAAGGCUUUGACGGGUAGCCGGCCUGAGAGGGUGACCGGCCAAACUACACUUGAGCUGCGGCACAGACUACUCCGGGACGCAGGGGAGCGGAAGAGUGCAUAAUGGGCGGAAGCAAAGUGCAGUCAAGCAGCGCGGGGGAUGACAGGCAGCCGGUAGUGAUCCAAUGCUGCCUUUGACGAAGUGUGAGUGACAGUAACGGGUAAAGAAGCACCGGCUAACUCCGUG
RNAcentral lists this ribosomal RNA (468 nucleotides) under uncultured bacterium. Its description in RNAcentral is "partial 16S ribosomal RNA". It matches the Rfam family "Bacterial small subunit ribosomal RNA", at positions 28 to 507 of the family's 1533-position model. The record is from RNAcentral.